GCCGGCCAAAGAAGAACAAAGGAGGAAAGGAAAAAAACAAGAACCCUAGGUAGGAAAAUUGAAGCAAAAGUGUGGGAUUUCAAGGGAUUAAGCUAAUAAAGGUAAAAUUUCUUGAUUUUGACUUGUGAUUUACACUACCCAUGCUUUCUUUUUCAUUUUCCAUGGUUAGAUUUCAUGUUUUCAUGGUGAAUUCAUGGCUGGUCAAAAUGGGUAUGGAGAGAGAAAGAUGUUAGAUUGAUUUGAUUUUAAGUUAUGUUAGUGUUUUUAGUUAGUUUAGCAUAUUUAGAAACAAAACAACAAGAAAAGAAUUCAUUUUUCCCAUCAACCAUCAAUGGCCGAAUUUUCUAGGGAGGAUAUUGUGGCUGAAAUUGAUGAUAUUUCAUGAUAUUUUGGUGUUAUUUGAUGUUUGGUGAGGCUAAAAAUUAAAUGGAAAAUUUUGGUGUGAAAAUCUGAAUUUUUACCUGAUGUAUAGACAUGUGUGAUUAUUGAUCCAGGACUAAUAAAUUGAAUCUCAUUCACAGUUACUGAGGUAAUUUAGGUAUAAUUGGAGUGUAGAAAGUGAAAGAAAUUGAUUUGGAGUUAAAUUGGAGGUUUUAGCCAAUUACACCGAGAAUAGUGCGAAUUAGGUCGAUUACCAUAUUUAAACAGCUAUUCGGACAUUUUGCAUUCCAUCGCAUGCAUUCAUUUAGAUUUAGAAAGGCUGAAAUAGUUUAUGAUAAAUUGACAUAAUUUAUUGAAAUUCGUGUCACGUAUAAUGUAUAGGUGGUGAGCCCUCUAAUAAAGGUAAAGAGAUUGUGCCCGAAGACCGAAAAUAAGAGUAUAUCGAACUCCUAGUACUGUGAGUAACCUUAUCAUUAUUUUAAUUAUCUAAAGUAUGUUUUAACUCGGUUUUGGUGAAAUUUUAUGAAAAUGAGUUAAAUGGCAAAUUUUAGGUUUUAUAAACAGAAAUGUGUUUAAAUGAAAAGAUUUUAUAAAUUGUCUUGAAACGAAAUAACGAUUUUGAAAAUAGAGUAAUUGGAGACCACCAGUAUGUUGUAAAUUUAUGAUUGGAAAUUGAUGGCUUAUGUUAUAUUGUUAUUGUGUUGGCAUGACUGGAUGGGCUGUAUUUUAUGAAUUGUAUAAAUUGUUUUAUUUUACCCUUGCAAGCUGGGUAGUAAUAUAUUAGCCUUAUCAUGUUGUCAAAAUUUUAUUAUAUGGUGAGUUUAGCUUACUGCAGUAGGAGGGUUUCCGUGGACUAGCCUAUUAGAGGGGCACGGUAAACCCUGUUAUAUUUUACCUCGGUUGGAGAGGCGAGUAGGAUAACUCCCGAGGUAUGAUUUUAGAGUUCACUUCACGCCAAACCAGCACGUGAAGGUAAGCUCGGCCAACGCCAAGGAACGGCUAUAUUUUCAAAAUGAAACAUAUUUUAUGCGUACAUGACUUUCUAAUAACCUUGGCAGACUCAAUUGGGAUAGCCCUCGACCAAGGUAUCCUAGAUAACUGAGUAUGAUAAUAAUUUUUGGCAUAAGCCAAGCUUUUUAAGAAAUUCAUAAGCCAUACUAAUUACUUGAUUUAAAUAAAUUGAUUUCAUUUGGUUGAAAUAAGCUGAAAGGUGAUAAAUUACAGUUUGAUGAAAUGUUUUAAUAGUCUCCUUUUACUCGCCUUUAGAUAUUUUAAAUGAUAUUUGUUUACUCACUAGGAUUUUAUAAUCUCACCACCCUCCUUUCCACCCAUUUCAAGUUCAGAAUAGACUGUAGAUAGCUUAUCGCAUCGAGGACUACCAUUGGAAUUGCAUUUUUCAAACUGUAGGUUCACAGUCCUCUUUGCUUUUGAAUAUUCGGGAAUCCCACUUAUUACUGUAAAUUAAAUUUCAUACUCUAGUUAUUUGUACUACUAUAUAUAGGAAUUUAUUUUGCUUUUACGUUAUGAAAAAAAAU
Molecule: long non-coding RNA, 1916 nt
Filed under: Theobroma cacao (cacao)
Lineage: Eukaryota; Viridiplantae; Streptophyta; Magnoliopsida; Malvales; Malvaceae
Description: long non-coding RNA (TCAC_LNC002909)
Source: RNAcentral